CAUUGAACGCUGGCGGCAUGCCUUACACAUGCAAGUCGAACGGCAGCACGGGAGCAAUCCUGGUGGCGAGUGGCGAACGGGUGAGUAAUGUAUCGGAACGUACCUUUCAGUGGGGGAUAACGUAGCGAAAGUUACGCUAAUACCGCAUAUUCUGUGAGCAGGAAAGCAGGGGAUCGCAAGACCUUGCGCUGAUUGAGCGGCCGAUAUCAGAUUAGCUAGUUGGUGAGGUAAAGGCUCACCAAGGCGACGAUCUGUAGCGGGUCUGAGAGGAUGAUCCGCCACACUGGAACUGAGACACGGUCCAGACUCCUACGGGAGGCAGCAGUGGGGAAUUUUGGACAAUGGGGGCAACCCUGAUCCAGCCAUGCCGCGUGAGUGAAGAAGGCCUUCGGGUUGUAAAGCUCUUUCAGCCGGGAAGAAAUCACAUGGGUUAAUACCCUGUGUGGAUGACGGUACCGGAAUAAGAAGCGCCGGCUAACUACGUGCCAGCAGCCGCGGUAAUACGUAGGGUGCGAGCGUUAAUCGGAAUUACUGGGCGUAAAGCGUGCGCAGGCGGUUUGUUAAGAUAGGCGUGAAAUCCCCGGGCUCAACCUGGGAACUGCGUUUAUGACUGGCAGGCUAGAGUAUGGCAGAGGGGGGUGGAAUUCCACGUGUAGCGGUGAAAUGCGUAGAGAUGUGGAGGAACACCGAUGGCGAAGGCAGCCCCCUGGGCCAAUACUGACGCUCAUGCACGAAAGCGUGGGUAGCAAACAGG
Molecule: ribosomal RNA, 754 nt
Filed under: uncultured bacterium
Lineage: Bacteria
Description: bacterial SSU rRNA
Rfam family: Bacterial small subunit ribosomal RNA
Source: RNAcentral